This 69-nucleotide transfer RNA is filed under the name Ictidomys tridecemlineatus (thirteen-lined ground squirrel). RNAcentral describes it as "Spermophilus tridecemlineatus (thirteen-lined ground squirrel) tRNA". It matches the Rfam family "tRNA". From Rfam's summary of the family: Transfer RNA (tRNA) molecules are approximately 80 nucleotides in length. Their secondary structure includes four short double-helical elements and three loops (D, anti-codon, and T loops). Further hydrogen bonds mediate the characteristic L-shaped molecular structure. tRNAs have two regions of fundamental functional importance: the anti-codon, which is responsible for specific mRNA codon recognition, and the 3' end, to which the tRNAs corresponding amino acid is attached (by aminoacyl-tRNA synthetases). tRNAs cope with the degeneracy of the genetic code in two manners: having more than one tRNA (with a specific anti-codon) for a particular amino acid; and 'wobble' base-pairing, i.e. permitting non-standard base-pairing at the 3rd anti-codon position. Lineage: Eukaryota; Metazoa; Chordata; Mammalia; Rodentia; Sciuridae. The record is from Rfam by way of RNAcentral.
GGGGUUGUGGCUCGGUGGCAGAGCACUUGCCUCAUGGGUAUGAGGCCCUGGGUUCGAUCCUCAGCACCA